RNAcentral lists this ribosomal RNA (225 nucleotides) under uncultured bacterium. Its description in RNAcentral is "partial 16S ribosomal RNA". It matches the Rfam family "Bacterial small subunit ribosomal RNA", at positions 118 to 345 of the family's 1533-position model. The record is from RNAcentral.
UGAGCAAUCUGCCCUUCUCUUCGGAAUAAGCGUUGGAAACGACGUCUAAUGCCGAAUACGACCUCCUUUCGCAUGAUCGGAGGUGGAAAGCUCCGGCGGAGAAGGAUGAGCUCGCGGCCUAUCAGCUAGUUGGUGAGGUCAUGGCUCACCAAGGCGACGACGGGUAGCUGGUCCGAGAGGAUGACCAGCCACAUUGGGACUGAGACACGGCCCAGAUCCUACGGG